AGUAGCGCUGUGGUUCAGGUGGGCGAGUGCUAGCCCUGAGCACAAAGAGCUCAGGGACAGCGCCCAGGACCUGAGUUCAAGCCUCAUAACUAACAACAACCUGCGUCGCUUCUGAAUGGCUAUUUUCACUCUGUCCAUUUGUAGCACUGGGUAUUCCAAAUGCUCUUGCCUGAAUCCAAGAGGACCUUGAGGGCAUAGUUAAGAGGAAGGCUAUUCGUGUGUAUUGGCUUGUUCUAACCCAG
Molecule: long non-coding RNA, 242 nt
Organism: Perognathus longimembris pacificus (Pacific pocket mouse)
Lineage: Eukaryota; Metazoa; Chordata; Mammalia; Rodentia; Heteromyidae
Exons: 3
Source: RefSeq, a predicted model, not a curated record